This 161-nucleotide ribosomal RNA is filed under the name uncultured bacterium. RNAcentral describes it as "partial 16S ribosomal RNA". It matches the Rfam family "Bacterial small subunit ribosomal RNA", at positions 355 to 509 of the family's 1533-position model. The record is from RNAcentral.
UGAGGAAUAUUGGUCAAUGGGCGCAAGCCUGAACCAGCCAAGUCGCGUGAGGGAAGACGGUCCUAUGGAUUGUAAACCUCUUUUUGUUCGGGGGAGCAAAGCGCGGUACGAGUACCGCGAAGGAGAGUACCCGAAGAAAAAGCAUCGGCUAACUCCGUGCC